ACAGACUUCGUAGUGCCUCAAUCGAUAAAUAAAAGACCUAAACUUUUGUAUAAAAUAAACUUAAAUCAUACACAACAAAGAAAAAACAAAAUUGUUAUUUUUAUUUAAUUCCGGGCAUUUUCAUGUUUUACAUUGAUACCUUUUAAACCUUCUCUGGACUUCGGCAAAUAAUUCAAGACCAAAAUUAGCCAAAUCGGUCCAGCCGUUCUCGAAUUUUAGCGAGACUAACGAACAGCAAUUCAUUUUUAAAUAUAUAUAUAGAUAAGCGUAUACGUCAAACAUUAAACUGAGAUAUCGACAUUAAAUAAAAAAAUCACUGCAACCUCGAUAGUCUGAUAGAUAUGACAGCCAAAAAUUUUUUAUAUUAUUAUUUAAUAAUAAUUUAUUUCAAAUAUCUAUACAAAUAUAAAUCUAUGUUGUGUAAAAUUAAAAAUGAAACCAUAACUUUGGCUUUGGCUGUAUCAAAUUUAUCAAUUCCACAAUGUUAUAAAAAAAAUCAAGUGAACUGUCAAUAUUAAACGUAUUGCAUAACAUCAACUUACACUGAAAUGUAUGUAAAGGCAAUUGCAAGAGAGAUUCCUUUAAAGAAGAUUGUACAAAUUUCUGCUGACGCAAUCUAGUCGUCAAGGCUAGUAAUGCUAAGAUGCCGUUGUCUCCGUCAAAAGUUUUCUGUAAAUAUUCGAAAGUUGAAUGUCGAUGCGGAAACCAAAGAUAAAUUGCAUCAGGAAGGACAUCAUGUUUAUUAAAAAGGAAACACAAACUCGCUUUAUCUAGCUAGAGUAAAAUGACAAGUAUUUAAAUGACAAUUAAAACUCUACAUAGCGAAAUCAAGUAUUUAGUUACCAGAGACGCGACGUUAAUCAGAAUUUGUAUAAUUACAGUCCAACCUUCAAACCAAUCCUUUUUAAUGUCGGCUAGUUGGAUAGCCAGUCGUAAACCAAUAAGCCAAACCAAAUCAUAGCAUGGAAAGUUAGAUAUAGAAUAAGUACAUGAAUACUUAGGACAUACGUUUAUAAAUGACCUUAAAUGAAAUAGAAAAAUCAAAAGACUAUUUUCAAAUUCCAUUAUCAUAUUUAUUAAAUUCUUGACUUAAUAAAUCUCUUGUGUUCCUGUGGUUCAAACCUUUGGCGAAUGGAGAUUCAAAAUUUGUCGGGAAGAAAUAAAAACCGGUGACUCUGAAAAAAAUACUUUAGAUAAUAAAUAUUAAUAUUGAUA
Molecule: long non-coding RNA, 1215 nt
Organism: Bombyx mori (domestic silkworm)
Lineage: Eukaryota; Metazoa; Arthropoda; Insecta; Lepidoptera; Bombycidae
Exons: 2
Source: RefSeq, a predicted model, not a curated record